Molecule: ribosomal RNA, 868 nt
Filed under: uncultured archaeon
Lineage: Archaea
Description: bacterial SSU rRNA
Rfam family: Archaeal small subunit ribosomal RNA
Source: RNAcentral
CUCCGGUUGAUCCUGCCGGACCCGACUGCUAUCAGAGUGGGACUAAGCCAUGCGAGUCAACGUAGCAAUACGUGGCAUACGGCUCAGUAACACGUAGUCAACAUGCCCAGGGGACGAGGAUAACCUCGGGAAACUGAGGAUAAACCUCGAUAGGCCAUGAUUUCUGGAAUGAUUCUUGGCUCAAACCUAUAUGGCCCCUGGAUUGGACUGCGGCCGAUCAGGCUGUUGGUGAGGUAAUGGCCCACCAAACCUAUUACCGGUACGGGCUCUGAGAGGAGGAGCCCGGAGAUGGGCACUGAGACAAGGGCCCAGGCCCUAUGGGGCGCAGCAGGCGCGAAACCUCUGCAAUAGGCGAAAGCUUGACAGGGUUACUCUGAGUGAUUUCCGCUAAGGGAAUCUUUUGGCACCUCUAAAAAUGGUGCAGAAUAAGGGGUGGGCAAGUCUGGUGUCAGCCGCCGCGGUAAUACCAGCACCCCGAGUGGUCGGGACGAUUAUUGGGCCUAAAGCAUCCGUAGCCGGUUCUGCAAGUCUUCCGUUAAAUCCAGCCGCUCAACGGAUGGGCCGCGGAGGAUACUACAGGACUAGGAGGCGGGAGAGGCAAGCGGUACUCAGUGGGUAGGGGUAAAAUCCUUUGAUCCAUUGAAGACCACCAGUGGCGAAGGCGGCUUGCCAGAACGCGCUCGACGGUGAGGGAUGAAAGCUGGGGGAGCAAACCGGAUUAGAUACCCGGGUAGUCCCAGCUGUAAACGAUGCAGACUCGGUGAUGGGCUAGCCUUGUGCCAGCCCAGUGCCGCAGGGAAGCCGUUAAGUCUGCCGCCUGGGGAGUACGGUCGCAAGACUGAAACUUAAAGGAAUUGGCGGGGGAGCA